Molecule: ribosomal RNA, 3227 nt
Filed under: groundwater metagenome
Description: bacterial LSU rRNA
Rfam family: Bacterial large subunit ribosomal RNA
Source: RNAcentral
CUAAGGGCACACGGUGGAUGCCUUGGCACUUCGAGGCGAUGAAGGACGUGGCAAGCUGCGAUAAGCUGCGGUGAGGAGCAAGCAUCCUUUGACCCGCAGAUUUCCGAAUGGGGGAACCCACAUGAGCAAAACUCAUGUACCGUUAUCUGAAUCAAUAGGGUAACGGAGCGAACCCGGGGAAGUGAACCAUCUCAGUACCCGGAGGGAGAGGAAAACAAUAGUGAUUCCGCUAGUAGCGGCGAGCGAACGCGGAACAGCCUAAACCAAGAGGGCAUGCCUUCUUGGGGUCGUGGGAUCGAAGUUAGGAGUUACAAAGGCUCAGGUUAGCGGAACGGCUUGGAAAGGCCGACCAUAGAACGUGAUAGUCGUGUACGCGAAAACUUAGAGCUCUCCGUUAUGCUUUGACACCCGAGUAAUGCGGGACACGAGGAAUCUUGCAUGAAUUUGCCGGGACCAUCCGGUAAGGCUAAAUACUCCGAAGUGACCGAUAGUGAACCAGUACCGUGAGGGAAAGGUGAAAAGAACCCCGGUGAGGGGAGUGAAAUAGUACCUGAAACCGUGUGCUUACAAGCAGUGGGAGGUCAAGGUUCGUCCUGACUGACCGCGUGCCUUUUGCAUAAUGAGCCGGCUAGUGAAUGUCACAGGCAAGGUUAAACGAUAAGUGAGCCGAAGCGAAAGCGAGUCCUAAUAGGGCGUUCAGUCUGUGGUAUUCGGACGUGAAGCGAGAUGAUCUAUGCAUGGCCAGGCUGAAGCGUGGGUAACACCACGUGGAGGGCCGAACCAGUUAAGGUUGAAAACUUUUUGGAUGAGCUGUGCAUAGGGGUGAAAGGCUAAUCAAAUUUCGUGAUAGCUCGUUCUCGCCGAAAUAGCUUUAGGGCUAGCCUCGGAUGAAUCGUCACGGUGGUAGAGCACUGAAUGGGCUAGGGGCCUCACAAGGUUACUGAACCCAAUCAAACUUCGAAUGCCGUGCACGCAUAUCCGGGAGUCAGACUACGGGGGCUAAGCUCCGUGGUCGAGAGGGAAAGAGCCCAGACCGACAACUAAGGUCCCCAAAUCGUGGUUAAGUGGAAAAGGAAGUAGGGAAGCACUGACAGCCAGGAGGUUGGCUUAGAAGCAGCCAUCCUUUAAAGAAAGCGUAAUAGCUCACUGGUCAAGCAGCCCUGCGCCGACAAUAUAACGGGGCUUAAACCACGUACCGAAGUUUCGGAUUGUGGAGGUCUUCGGAUCUCUAUGAUGGUAGGCGAGCAUUCCGUAGCUGUGAAGCGGGACCGAAAGGACCGUUGGAGCGAUCGGAAAAGACUCUGUCGGCAUAAGUAGCGAUAACGCGGGUGAGAACCCCGCGCGCCGUAAACCUAAGGUUUCCUGAGUAAAGUUAAUCUGCUCAGGGUUAGUCGGUACCUAAGGCGAGGCCGAAAGGCGUAGUCGAUGGAAAUCCGGUUAAUAUUCCGGAACCGCUAACGUGUGCUGUGGGAGGACGCAGUAGGGUAGGCGAGACGGCCGAUGGACGUGCCGUUGAACUCAUCAUAGCCCGUCACUUUGGAAAAUCCGGGUGACACAAGGGUAAAGGUAGGGACGAAAGUAGGGGUAAAACCCGAAAAAAGUCGUUGACCCCAGCUGCCAGGAAAAUUCUCGUUCAGCUAUACACGCGAUGCGACCGUACCGCAAACCGACACAGGUAGGUGGGGUGAGAAUCCUAAGGCGCUUGUGAGAACUCUCGUUCAGGAACUCGGCAAAAUGUACCCGUAACUUCGGGAGAAGGGUAGCCCACCUCAGACGUGGGUCGCAGAGAAAUGUCCCAGGCGACUGUUUACUAAAAACACAGGUCUCCGCAAAGUCGUGAAGACGACGUAUGGGGGCUGACGCCUGCCCAAUGCUGGAAGGUUAAAAGGAGUGGUCAGCCGUAAGGCGAAGCUACGAAUUGAAGCCCCAGUGAAUGGCGGCCGUAACUAUGAACAGGACACCGCGCACCUCAAGUGAGCGGAAUUGUAGUUCCGAAAACGAAACUUGGCUAAAUGCUGGAACAUCCGGUUAGUAUCCGACGCUACUCGCUUCGAUCAUGAGGCAGUAACAAUGCGUUCGGUGCGGACAAUCAGCAGGAAAGGCUAGCGCAAGCUAGAAUCCUCAGAGACUACACGCCAAGCAUCACGUUCUCGUGAUGAUGAUAUAGUCCGAUCUUCAUGGCGACAUGAAGGACAAGCGAAGAUCUCUCUUCGUGAAUCGCGACUGAAUCCUCAAGAUUCAAAUCGUUAACACAAAUGAACGGUCCUAAGGUAGCGAAAUUCCUUGUCGGGUAAGUUCCGACCUGCACGAAUGGCGUAACGAUCUGGGAGCUGUCUUAACGAGAGACACAGCGAACUUGUAGUACCGGUGAAGAUGCCGGUUUCCCGCAUCUAGACGGAAAGACCCCGUGCACCUUUACUACAACUUGAUAGUGGGUUCGGGCAAACGAUGCGCAGCAUAGAUGGGAGGCUUUGAACCGAGGCUUUUGGGCUUCGGGGAGCCACAGGUGAGAUACCAUCCUUCGUUUGUCUGGACUCUAACCUCGAGCCGUAAUCCGGUUCAGGGACACUAUCAGGCGGGUAGUUUGACUGGGGCGGUCGCCUCCCAAAUUGUAACGGAGGCGCUCGAAGGUUGGCUCAGGCUGUUUGGAAAUCAGCCGCAGAGUGUAAACGCAUAAGCCAGCUUGACUGUGAGACAAACAAGUCGAACAGGUACGAAAGUAGGAGUUAGUGAUCCGGCGGUUCUGUAUGGAAGGGCCGUCGCUCAACGGAUAAAAGGUACGCCGGGGAUAACAGGCUGAUCCUGCCCAAGAGUUCACAUCGACGGCAGGGUUUGGCACCUCGAUGUCGGCUCAUCGCAUCCUGGGGCUGAAGAAGGUCCCAAGGGUCCGGCUGUUCGCCGGUUAAAGCGGUACGUGAGCUGGGUUUAGAACGUCGCGAGACAGUUCGGUCCCUAUCUGGUGUGGGCGCAGCAGGAUUGAGGGAAUCUGUCCUUAGUACGAGAGGACCGGGAUGGAUCCACCUCUAGUGUACGAGUUAUGGCGCCAGCCGUAACGCUCGGUAGCUAAGUGGAGCAUGGAUAAACGCUGAAUGCAUCUAAGCGUGAAGCCAGACCCGAGAUUAAUCCUGCCCGUGAGACUCGUGGUAGACCACCACGUUGAUAGGCUGGAAAUGUAAGUGCAGUAAUGUGCUCAGUUGACCAGUACUAAUCAGUCCCUAGGCUUGACC